GACGAACGCUGGCGGCGUGCUUAACACAUGCAAGUCGAACGAUGAAGCCGGAGCUUGCUCUGGUGAAUUAGUGGCGAACGGGUGAGUAACACGUGAGUAACCUGCCCUUGACUCUGGAAUAACUGCGGGAAACUGUAGCUAGUACCGGAUACGACCCUCGGAGGCAUCUCCUGGGGGUGGAAAGAAUUUCGGUCAAGGAUGGACUCGCGGUCUAUCAGCUAGUUGGUGAGGUAAAGGCUCACCAAGGCGACGACGGGUAGCCGGCCUGAGUGGGUGACCGGCCACACUGGGACUGAGACACGGCCCAGACUCCUACGGGAGGCAGCAGUGGGGAAUAUUGCACAAUGGGCGCAAGCCUGAUGCAGCAACGCCGCGUGAGGGAUGACGGCCUUCGGGUUGUAAACCUCUUUUAGCAGGGAAGAAGCGAAAGUGACGGUACCUGCAGAAAAAGCACCGGCUAACUACGUGCCAGCCGCCGCAGUAA
Molecule: ribosomal RNA, 484 nt
Filed under: uncultured bacterium
Lineage: Bacteria
Description: partial 16S ribosomal RNA
Rfam family: Bacterial small subunit ribosomal RNA
Source: RNAcentral